AUGGCAGUAGCUCAGUGGUAGAGCUCCCGCUUGGUACGCAGGAAGACCUGGGUUCGAUUCCCGGCUGCUUUC
Toxocara canis (dog roundworm) is the source of this 72-nucleotide transfer RNA. It matches the Rfam family "tRNA". From Rfam's summary of the family: Transfer RNA (tRNA) molecules are approximately 80 nucleotides in length. Their secondary structure includes four short double-helical elements and three loops (D, anti-codon, and T loops). The record is from Rfam. NCBI's taxonomy places the organism in Eukaryota, Metazoa, Nematoda, Chromadorea, Rhabditida, Toxocaridae.